GUGCCUCCCACCUCCUCCCUCAGUCCUCAGACCCUCAGCACGAGAGAGAUUAGGCAAGUAGCAUCGCUAGGCAUUCAAGCACCUAGCCUGGAGCUCCUAGACUGGACAGAUGCCAUUCACCAGUCACGGUGCUUCUUCUCUUUGGCUAAUGACUCAGAAGAGAUGUCAGGCCUUUCCCUCAGGUCUGACAGGUAGAAGAUGCUUAAACAAACUGCGUGACUUGCUCUCCCUUACAGGCCUCUGCUCUGGAAUGACCUGACCAGGUGUAGGUGCUCUGGUACCUCAUGUUCUCAUGAAAGCUGUCUCGGGACACCCGGGUGUCUCUAAAGUCCGGCACACAGCAGGUGCUGCUAACACAUGUGCUGAGUCAACGAAGAAAAGAAGAAAAAAUGAUCAUGUGAUUCUGAACAAGUCACUCUAUCCUUUGGCUGUGUACACACGUGUGCGUGUGGGUGUGCAUUCAAGUUCACGUAUGCACAACAUGAGAGCCAGAAGACACCCAGUGUCCUGCUCCAGGACUCCCUUAUUUCCCUGAGACGGGUUCUCCCUGGCCCUGAGCCUAGCACGGGCAGCCAGCGCACGCCCAUGAUCCUCCUGUUUCUGCUCGCACAGCACUGGAGUUAAAGGCAGCAUGCUUUUAACAUGUGCUGGAGGGGUUGGGGAUUUAGCUCAGCGGUAGAGCGCUUGCCUAGCAAGUGCAAGGCCCUGGGUUCGGUCCCCAGCUCCG
RNAcentral lists this long non-coding RNA (727 nucleotides) under Rattus norvegicus (Norway rat). RNAcentral's name for it is "long non-coding RNA NONRATT016570". The stretch from base 659 to 727 matches the Rfam family "tRNA". The record is from RNAcentral. Lineage: Eukaryota; Metazoa; Chordata; Mammalia; Rodentia; Muridae.